This 216-nucleotide ribosomal RNA is filed under the name Parvimonas micra. RNAcentral describes it as "partial 16S ribosomal RNA". It matches the Rfam family "Bacterial small subunit ribosomal RNA", at positions 202 to 421 of the family's 1533-position model. The record is from RNAcentral. Lineage: Bacteria; Bacillati; Bacillota; Tissierellia; Tissierellales; Peptoniphilaceae.
AAAGAUUUAUCGGUGUAAGAUAGGCUCGCGUCUGAUUAGCUAGUUGGAAGGGUAAAGGCCUACCAAGGCGACGAUCAGUAGCCGGUCUGAGAGGAUGAACGGCCACAUUGGAACUGAGACACGGUCCAAACUCCUACGGGAGGCAGCAGUGGGGAAUAUUGCACAAUGGGGGGAACCCUGAUGCAGCGACGCCGCGUGAGCGAAGAAGGUUUUCGA